Molecule: transfer RNA, 83 nt
Filed under: Minisyncoccota bacterium
Lineage: Bacteria; Bacillati; Minisyncoccota
Description: tRNA-Leu
Rfam family: tRNA
About the family: Transfer RNA (tRNA) molecules are approximately 80 nucleotides in length. Their secondary structure includes four short double-helical elements and three loops (D, anti-codon, and T loops).
Source: RNAcentral
GCCCGGGUGGUGGAAUGGCAUACACGUGCGACUCAAAAUCGCAUGGCCGCAAGGCCUUGUGGGUUCAAGUCCCACCCCGGGCA